RNAcentral lists this ribosomal RNA (285 nucleotides) under Triticum aestivum (bread wheat). RNAcentral describes it as "partial small subunit ribosomal RNA". The record is from RNAcentral. Lineage: Eukaryota; Viridiplantae; Streptophyta; Magnoliopsida; Poales; Poaceae.
AUGCUCAUCCCGGCAGCUCUGGCAGGAGUCAUAAACAAGGACAAUGUUGAUGCCAUCAAAGCAAAGUACAUCAUCGAAGCUGCUAACCACCCAACAGACCCCAAGGCCGAAGAGAUUCUGGCAAAGAAGGGCGUGCUGAUCCUACCGGACAUACUGGCCAACUCCGGCAGAGUGAUGGUGAGCUACUUCGAGUGGGUGCAGAAUCUCCAGGGGUUCAUGUGGGACGAGGAGAAGGUGAAUCGGGAGCUCAAGACGUACAUGACCCGCGCCUCAAACAUGUUCUGA